This 852-nucleotide ribosomal RNA is filed under the name uncultured Planctomycetota bacterium. Its description in RNAcentral is "bacterial SSU rRNA". It matches the Rfam family "Bacterial small subunit ribosomal RNA", at positions 58 to 918 of the family's 1533-position model. Lineage: Bacteria; Pseudomonadati; Planctomycetota. The record is from RNAcentral.
CAAGUCGGACGAAUCCCUCAGGGCUUGCUCUGAGGGGGAAGUGGCGAAAGGGGCAGUAAGGCGUGGGUAACCCACCCCGGGGACCGGCAUAGCCGUCCUAACGGACGGGUAAUUCCGGGCGAUCUGGCGGCGUCGCAUGGCGCUUCCAGGAAACGAGUUUCGCCUCGGGAGGGGCUCACGUGGUAUUAGCUUGUUGGCGGGGUAACGGCCCACCAAGGCCCAGAUGCCUAGCGGGUGUGCGAGCACGACCCGCGCCACUGGCACUGCGACACUGGCCAGACUCCUACGGGAGGCUGCAGUCGAGGAUCUUCGGCAAUGGGCGCAAGCCUGACCGAGCGACGCCGCGUGUGCGAUGAAGGCCUUCGGGUUGUAAAGCACUGUCGAGGGGGAGGAAGGCGCAAGCUUGACCUAUCCCUGGAGGAAGCACGGGCUAAGUUCGUGCCAGCAGCCGCGGUAAGACGAACCGUGCGAACGUUGUUCGGAAUCACUGGGCUUAAAGGGCGCGUAGGCGGGCACUCAAGUCUGCGGUGAAAGCCUCCCGCUUAACGGGAGAAGUGCCGCGGAUACUGGGUGCCUCGAGGGGUGUAGGGGCAUGCGGAACUUCCGGUGGAGCGGUGAAAUGCGUAGAGAUCGGAAGGAACGCCGGUGGCGAAAGCGGCGUGCUGGGCACCUUCUGACGCUGAGGCGCGAAAGCCAGGGGAGCGAACGGGAUUAGAUACCCCGGUAGUCCUGGCCCUAAACGAUGGGUACCGGGUUGUGGGCUUGACAUGGGUUCACAGCCGGAGCAAAAGUGUUCAGUACCCCGCCUGGGGAGUAUGGUCGCAAGGCUGAAACUCAAAGGAAUUGACGGGG